Molecule: long non-coding RNA, 2122 nt
Organism: Paramacrobiotus metropolitanus
Lineage: Eukaryota; Metazoa; Tardigrada; Eutardigrada; Parachela; Macrobiotidae
Exons: 5
Source: RefSeq, a predicted model, not a curated record
UGUUGCCGUUGGCGUUGCAAUUUACAGUACAAUUACUAUUAAAAGUUGUUUUUUCUUAUUUUUUCAGUUUGUUUGAGUGGAUUUAUUCAGUUUAGCGGAUAUAUGUAUAUUUCAGAGAAAUCUGCAGUUCUGAGUAUGGCAGAUUUCGAUCCCUUUGAAGUGUCAUCUUGUGCUAUCUCGUGUCUCCUGGCUUUGUCGUCCCGUUUUAUCGAAUCUCCAGGACGUAUCUGGAGAUUCAGGGUCUAUCGAAACCCCGUCGCCAUCACUUGUUCUUCUGUGUAUUCCACCCGAUAAAGACAAGCCCAUGGAGGAGAUCCGCAUUAUACAGCUGUUCGGCGUCAAGGACUGCGAGUUCUACUGGUAGAAAAACCGCGAUUACAUGCCCGUCAAAGUGGAGCGUUAUAACCAUAUCAAGAAAAGGGGGAAACAAAGUUUGACCACGGUGGAAUGUUUUAUCAACCUGGGGGUUUUCGCCUCAAUUAAACGAACGGAAGUUCCCGUAGAAUCCAUUAAAAUACUAGACUCCAUCAUGGAUUUAUCCUGGGAACCAAAUGGCAACACAUUGGUAGUGCUAAUUGUUGCUGGUUCAGUAAAUUGGCUAAUUUCUAAAGUGGGCGACAAGGCGUCAUUUUGGAAUUAGUCAAAAAAUUAGCGCUGCGGCACAAGGUGGAGAAAAUCACCUGAUCGCCUAUGGGGCAGUUCGUCGUUCUUCACACGGCUUCCAGGAAAGCACAGUCGUAUUCCUGACAGUGUGCUGAUUGACACUGUCUGUAUGUUCUGCAGCGGAAGCGUUGGGUAUUUAUCUUUUGUGAAUGCCGCCGAUUUGUCAGUGUUGGGGAUGUUUCACACUUUCUGCUCUUUGAUGUCCAAUUGAAUCCCACAGGACGCUACCUCACAGCAGUUACGUCCUCUUCGAAUGCCGGAAGUAGCUGAUGCAAGUCCUCUGAACAGUUUCGCAAAGCGUAGAACAACUGCUGAGCAUCUCCCGUCACUUCGUUUGCUUACCCAGUUAAACAUUCAACCUGCCCCAGUGCUCCUUCAAUGCCGUCCUGAUCCCCAUCUGCAGUAUCAUAGAGUCUAUUGGCCCGCCCGACGACAGAAUCCGCAAACACAAAAAAAGCUUCCAUUGUAUCUGCAUCAAACCGAAACCAACAAAUACUUACAUCAAUACCAUGAAAUUUACAAAAAUAAGUUUGGGCUGUGACACAGCCGAACAAUUCAUUAGUCGUUAUAGUGCUGCCGUACAAAGUAUAACGUAAGAAACGUACCGUGUUCGGGAAACUUUGGAUUUUGGGAAGCAGUCGACCGUUAUGGAUCCCACUGUAAGUUACAGCGGUAGAAGUAAAUUUUAGACUAUUGUUCAACACAUGGAACGGUUGCGGAAAGAUACAGCUGUUACUCAACGGCUAGAACCCCAGAACGGGCCAGAAGACGUAAACAUCGAGGACUCCACCAUUCCACGGCCCGGUCAUAAGCACUUGGAGGACUUGAGCCCCUCAGCGGGCACAAGUACAAAAUCAGAAUAAAACAAAAAAGAUACUGCAACUCGAAGAAAUAAACGGGUUUCGUUUUUCAAAUAAAAAGGAACACAUACUUUCUAGUUUCUAUUAACGUCAACAACAACGCAAACUGCCAGAUUUCGUAUGGCGAGCACACCAGUUUAAGGCCAUUUCCAGUAAAUUAUAUGGAAAAUCCCACACAGUAGUUGGAAAUGGAAUGUGGAAAUGGAAUUUGUAAAGUUGGAAAAAAUUCUAAGUCCUGCAUCGGGUUAGAAAAAUCGUAAUCGAUGUUUUUGAAAUCGACAAUUGAUGUUUUCCAAUUCCAGAUUUCCAAAUCGAUGAAGCUGUCGGAUUUGGAAUUCCAUAAGUGGCAACGGGCAAAAUUUGCAUUUAGUGCCAAAUGGCAAAUGCCAAUAAAUUUCUGAACAACACGUAUUUUGGUUAGUUAAGAUUAAUAAUGCAGAAAAUUAAAAAAGUUUAUUAGGGUAAUGGAACUCCAGAUUGUUUAGAGCAAGAUCACCUGGAACAAGAGUUAGGAAAAGUCAGCCUCGGAAGUGCGGAUAUUGGUAACUUCUCGGUAGCUCUGCAGUCUGCAGCUCUUCUUCAAACUCCAGAAUAAAAUG